UACGUAGGUGGCAAGCGUUAUCCGGAAUUACUGGGCGUAAAGCGCACGCAGGCGGUCUUUUAAGUUUGACGUGAAAGCUCUCGGCUUAACUGGGAGAGGUCGUUGAAUACUGGGAGACUUGAGGAAAUGAGAGGGGUGUAGAAUUCCUGGUGUAGUGGUGGAAUGCGUAGAUAUCAGGAGGAAUACCGGUGGCGAAGGCGGCAUCCUGGACCGGCAUUGACGCUGAGGCGCGAAAGCCAGGGGAGCAAACGGG
Molecule: ribosomal RNA, 253 nt
Filed under: uncultured prokaryote
Description: partial 16S ribosomal RNA
Rfam family: Bacterial small subunit ribosomal RNA
Source: RNAcentral